This 369-nucleotide long non-coding RNA is filed under the name Mytilus galloprovincialis (Mediterranean mussel). Lineage: Eukaryota; Metazoa; Mollusca; Bivalvia; Mytilida; Mytilidae. The record is from RNAcentral.
GGGGAAUUUUCUGCGACUGUCCCAAGUGAGCCUGAGGUUCGACUAGCCAUAAAACCCGGUUCAAUUCACCAUUUUCUACAUAAGAAAAUGCCUGUACGAUUCGGAAUAUAACAGUUGUUAUCCAUUUGUUUGAUUUUGCCGUUUGAUUUCGGACUUUCCGUUUUUUAAUUUCCUUGGAGUCGUUUUUUUUUUUAGGUUAUUUUACUUUUUAUUAGCACUUUCUUUAAUCUUUUGCUUAACUCAUGUAUUAAAUAAUUGUUUUCCUGCUAAAUUUUAAUAAUUUAAAUAUACAUUUUUGUCUCCUUUUUUACCCCUUUUCUCCUUUCUCCUGCCCCUUCUCUCUUUUAUCCCGCCCCUUCUCGCCUUUCU